This 404-nucleotide ribosomal RNA is filed under the name uncultured Kitasatospora sp. Its description in RNAcentral is "bacterial SSU rRNA". It matches the Rfam family "Bacterial small subunit ribosomal RNA", at positions 358 to 774 of the family's 1533-position model. Lineage: Bacteria; Bacillati; Actinomycetota; Actinomycetes; Kitasatosporales; Streptomycetaceae. The record is from RNAcentral.
GGAAUAUUGCACAAUGGGCGAAAGCCUGAUGCAGCGACGCCGCGUGAGGGAUGACGGCCUUCGGGUUGUAAACCUCUUUCAGCAGGGAAGAAGCGCAAGUGACGGUACCUGCAGAAGAAGCACCGGCUAACUACGUGCCAGCAGCCGCGGUAAUACGUAGGGUGCGAGCGUUGUCCGGAAUUAUUGGGCGUAAAGAGCUCGUAGGCGGCCUGUCGCGUCGGAUGUGAAAGCCCGGGGCUUAACCCCGGGUCUGCAUUCGAUACGGGCAGGCUAGAGUGUGGUAGGGGAGAUCGGAAUUCCUGGUGUAGCGGUGAAAUGCGCAGAUAUCAGGAGGAACACCGGUGGCGAAGGCGGAUCUCUGGGCCAUUACUGACGCUGAGGAGCGAAAGCGUGGGGAGCGAACA